This 273-nucleotide long non-coding RNA is filed under the name Actinidia chinensis (golden kiwifruit). Its description in RNAcentral is "long non-coding RNA (ACHI_LNC007793)". The record is from RNAcentral. Lineage: Eukaryota; Viridiplantae; Streptophyta; Magnoliopsida; Ericales; Actinidiaceae.
AAAUACCAGUUAUGUAUAGUUUGACUACCUCCAUUCACGAAUUUGACCCGAACUCAACCCAAAAACGGUAUAUAGAUAGAUAGAUAGAUAGAUAUGAUAAUAAAGUACGUGAUGUAUAAACUUGGUUGAAUUGAUAUUUUUUUGUAGCAAUAUGUGAUAAAAUUAAAAUAUUUCUCCGAAUUAGGUUGAAAUUUAAUAUAUAUGAAUACGUUAAAUUUAUAUUUUGAGUAUUAAAAUUUGAUUUUUUUUAAAUAUUUGGGUAUUGGGUCCCGA